RNAcentral lists this ribosomal RNA (300 nucleotides) under Triticum aestivum (bread wheat). Its description in RNAcentral is "partial small subunit ribosomal RNA". Lineage: Eukaryota; Viridiplantae; Streptophyta; Magnoliopsida; Poales; Poaceae. The record is from RNAcentral.
AUGAAGUGGCGCCAAGCUUCUGGCGUUCUCUGUGACAAAAGAGUGCUACAAAAGCUAAUAGGUGUAGCGGAGAUGCGCAUGUUGAGAUGGAUGUGUGGCCACACAAGGAAGGACAAGAUCCGGAAUGAUGAUGUACAGGAUAGAGUUGGGGUAGCACCGAUUGAAGAGAAGCUUGUCCAACAUCGUCUAAGAGGGUUUGGGCAUAUUCAACGCCGGCCUCCAGAAGCUCCAGUGCAUAGCGAACGGCUAAAGCGUGUUGAUGAUGUCAAGAGAGGUCGGGGUAGACCGAGCUUGACAUGA